CACUCCAUCCAGCAUGGACAAAAAGGCUGCACAGCAUUCAGCAGUACUGAUUGAGUUGACUACAUGGAUUUGCAACCAGCAGCUCAGCAGCUGCUUCAUGAACCAUCCUUCCAGGAGGGGAACAUCACAAAGAUGGAUUCCUUUAGCAGGGAAGAUAUGACAGGUUGUGAUAUCGGACUGCAGUGAAGUUCCAUUGGUGCUAUUCUGCCCUUCAUGAGUGAGCAUUGCUGGGCUGUGCAGCUGGCAAGCACAUGCCCUGUUCUUGGCAGCUUCAUGAUAAUGCCAUUCAGAGUGAAGAGUGCUGGAAUGUCUUCUAAAAACCACAAGUUUCAUCUCUAAGGGCAACAGAACAGCCCGUGUUGGUUGUGAGGGCAGUGCCAGAGGUCACAAUGGCUACAGCUGGAUUUCAAAAGGCAUGGUGGAAAAGAAGAACAGGAUUUUCUGGAGGUGUGAAGAACACUUGUCCAUUCAUAACUGAAACUAUUCAAGAUGAAUGGGUCUGAAAGGGCACUAGGCUUGAGCCAACUGCUUCUGAUCUGGGAGCUUACAGAAUGGCACCGAUCUGGAGCACUACUGUGAGCAGAUUUACGUCUGCCUCUUCCCUACCUUGGCAUUCUGGCAUUUAUGCACUCAUUGCACUGCUAGUGCACAUUCUUGCAGUGAUACUUGGGAGUUUAAUGAAGCCCAAGUGUCUGAAAGGAGUAGGCUGAAUCAAGCCUCUGUCAAGAAGCACUGCUGAAUUACUGAAUUAGCAUACCCAAGACCAGCACAUCAGGAGGAUAGCCUUCUACCAAGAAUAGUGUGGAGAUAUACCUUGUUCACAGAAGCUCUGGAAACACUGUGAGACUUGGACAGACGCAGUGCAUCCUUAGAAGGCAGAGAUGUUGCUGGUCUCUGAGCUUUGCACACUCUGUGUUCAUGACUGAUGGAAAUAAUGCCCAGUUUGGGGGGAGCUUGGUGGUAUGGGAGACAGUCACAGCAGCUCUAAUAGGGUGGCUUAUCACUUUCUUGUGGUGCCAGGUACAGCUUCUGUUCUCUUUUGCACCCACAAAUCUGGUAUAAUAUUAAUUAGAUUGAUAUUAGGUUUUAUUAGUGAAGAUCCAUAAAACAAAAAAAGGAAAAGUUCCAUAGUCAUUCUAAAAGUUGGUAUGUCAUUUGUAUGAAGGGGGUGAACAGAGAUUGGUAACAAUGAAACACUGCUUUUCCAGAAAUAAGAAAUGUUUAGGUAAAAUAUCUAAGUAAAAUUUAGCAGAAAUUUGAUUACUGCCUGAUAAAAUGCUGUCUCUUCCCUUCUAAAUCAGUUUGAUCAUCUCCCUUGUGCAAGCCCUGCACCUUCACCUAGAUUCCUUCUCGGGCAGCUACAGUGGAUCUGCUCACCAAGGGAAUUUGUCCCACUGGAUUCCUUUUUUUUUUUCUGUGCAGUUGAAUGAAAAGUGUGAGCCUUUUGAAGAACAGCAACUGAAAGAAAUAUUGAUGACUGCCAGGGCAUCUACAGAAAAAGAUAAGAAAAUUACUACAACAGUGAAAACAAAGGGGCUUUGUUAACACUUUCUUGUGUUGUAUAUAUUAAUAGUAACAAGUAAAGUUUUGUAUUUUUUCAGAGAAACACACAAGGCCUUGAAUUGUAUUGUUUUAAUUGCAACUAACUGAAUGAAUUAAGUGGAAAAUCGCACACAGUACUUUGAUUGUCUAAUUCUCUGUAUGUGAGGCUUUGGGAACAGUUUGUUAUUAUAAAAGAACAGCACUAACCAGAAAUCAGCCAACAUGUAAUUGCUAGGCUGAGGGGCAGUUUGGGGAAAGCUGAUAUUUAUUUAUACAUUAUUAAAUAAAAGCACAUAAUAUGA
Long non-coding RNA from Vidua chalybeata, 1844 nucleotides. RefSeq lists it as uncharacterized. NCBI's taxonomy places the organism in Eukaryota, Metazoa, Chordata, Aves, Passeriformes, Viduidae. The record is from RefSeq and is a predicted model, not a curated record. The transcript is spliced from 8 exons.